Molecule: transfer RNA, 67 nt
Filed under: Marmota monax (woodchuck)
Lineage: Eukaryota; Metazoa; Chordata; Mammalia; Rodentia; Sciuridae
Description: tRNA.Ala
Source: RNAcentral
GGUUGUGGCUCAGCGGUAGAGCGCUCACCUAGCAUGUGCAAGGUGCUGGGUUUGAUCCUCAGUACCA